AAGAAACGAUGAACUUACUUUCGUUGUAGCACUCUCGAUUCUUGGAACACUUGUGCAUUCUACCGACAUGAUGGAUUCACUCGAAGAAAUUUUGCAGGAAUAACCUUUGGUUUAUUGUCAUAGACCAAGUCAGACUUCUGAAACUUAUAUAAUACUCAGUAAUCAAACUUAUAAAUAUUCUACUUUACAAGAAGUCCAACUGUCUUGCAUACUCCCUAGUCCCUGGCAUGCAAAUGUACAUCCUCUCAUACACUUGUCAUCUACGUUUCUUUUUAAAAAAAGUUACUAAUCCCUCUGCAACGCCAUACUUGAGAUUUUUCAACACUCGUCGAUAUCUUCAAUAAAUAGAGGAUCCAAUGUUGAGGUUCCGUACCAGCCCUCAUCGAUAUCUUCAAUAAAUAAAGGAUCCAAUGUUGAGGUUCCGUACCAGCCCU
This 434-nucleotide long non-coding RNA is filed under the name Daucus carota (carrot). RNAcentral describes it as "long non-coding RNA (DCAR_LNC003470)". The record is from RNAcentral. Lineage: Eukaryota; Viridiplantae; Streptophyta; Magnoliopsida; Apiales; Apiaceae.